UCUCUAUGAUGUGACAAUAGAUCCUUCUGACCCUUCACUGUGUACUCAAUGGAAGGGUGCUGAAGAUAUUUCAUGACUGAGAGA
Molecule: small nucleolar RNA, 84 nt
Filed under: Sphenodon punctatus (tuatara)
Lineage: Eukaryota; Metazoa; Chordata; Lepidosauria; Sphenodontia; Sphenodontidae
Source: RNAcentral